RNAcentral lists this ribosomal RNA (253 nucleotides) under uncultured bacterium. RNAcentral describes it as "partial 16S ribosomal RNA". It matches the Rfam family "Bacterial small subunit ribosomal RNA", at positions 524 to 776 of the family's 1533-position model. The record is from RNAcentral.
AACGUAGGUACCGAGCGUUAUCCGGAUUUACUGGGCGUAAAGCGCGUUCAGGCGGUUUGGCAAGUCGGGCAUGAAAUCUCUCGGCUCAACCGGGAGAGGUUGUCCGAUACUUCCAGACUUGAGGGCAGUACAGGGUGGUGGAAUUCCGGGUGUAGUGGUGAAAUGCGUAGAUAUCCGGAGGAACACCAGUGGCGAAAGCGGCCACCUGGACUGCACCUGACGCUGACACGCGAAAGCUAGGGGAGCGAACGGG